Molecule: ribosomal RNA, 468 nt
Filed under: uncultured bacterium
Lineage: Bacteria
Description: partial 16S ribosomal RNA
Rfam family: Bacterial small subunit ribosomal RNA
Source: RNAcentral
GACGAACGCUGGCGGCGUGCUUAACACAUGCAAGUCGAACGGAAAGGCCCUGCUUUUGUGGGGUGCUCGAGUGGCGAACGGGUGAGUAACACGUGAGUAACCUGCCCUUGACUUUGGGAUAACUUCAGGAAACUGGGGCUAAUACCGGAUAGGAGCUCCUGCUGCACGGUGGUGGUUGGAAAGUUUCGGCGGUGGGGGAUGGACUCGCGGCUUAUCAGCUGGUUGGUGGGGUAGUGGCUUACCAAGGCUUUGACGGGUAGCCGGCCUGGGAGGGUGACCGGCCACAUUGGGACUGAGAUACGGCCCAGACGCCUACGGGAGGCAGCAGUGGGGAAUAUUGCACAAUGGGCGGAAGCCUGAUGCAGCAACGCCGCGUGCGGGAUGACGGCCUUCGGGUUGUAAACCGCUUUCGCCUGUGACGAAGCGUGAGUGACGGUAAUGGGUAAAGAAGCCCCGGCUAACUACGUG